UUUUUUUUUUUUUUUUUUUUUUAGAAGCACACACAUGGCAUACGGAGGUUCCCAGCCUAGGGAUCGAAUCAGAGUUGUAGCUGCCAGCCUACCCACAGCCACAAAUCUGAAUCAAACUGUGUCUGCAACCUACACCCCAGCUCACAGCAACACAGUAUCCUUAACCCAGUGAGCGAGGCCAGGGAUCAAAGCUGCAUCCUCCUGGAUACUAGUUAGAUUCAUUUCUGCGGAGCCAUGACGGGAACUCCAGAUAUUUUAUUAAUAUGUUGUGAUGGGCUUCCUUACUAUGUAGAAAAAAAACAGAGUCCACUGAUUUGAAGUAUAGCACCAGUGGUGUUUCUGGAGUUGAAACCUGGGAAACAGUAUUUGUUGAAUUACUCUAAAAUUUUUUAGUUGGACUUGACAAAAUAAAAUUAAAAAACCAGCAAAAAUAUCUGGUACAGAAAGAGUAAAGUAUGCGGAUUAAAAUUAAAGCCCUCUUUCCCAGGUUUUGCUGGAUGUUAGAAUUCCCCCCAGGGGAAAUUCCUGCUUCUCAAAAUAGCAAGUAUGCCCUGAGAGAGAGAGAGAGAGAGAGAGAGAGAGAGAGAGAGAGAGAGAGAGAGAGAGAGAGGUUGCCAUGACAGCGCAGAGGGCAGAGGCACCUAAUUGUUCUCUCUGAAAAGACUUCCCAGGGCUUCUCAUCUCUUACUUAAAAGCUACUGACUGGACCCCUGCCUUGCACAGGGGCUAAUUCUUUGUUCAAUUGCUUUAGCCCUAGAAGUCUGGGGAGUGGAUGGUCUGCCAAAUGGAUCCACAGGCACAAUUGGAUCGAAUCCACACCACCUUCACAGAGCUCAGGCAUAAACUGUUGAGAAUAACUAAAAUUGAUGAAAUCUUGACAAAAAUAUACUUGAGAUAUUCUCUUCACAAUAUUCAAAUAUCCACAAGUACAGAGGAAUUUCCUUUGAAGGCUAUGAAAGUGUGUGCAGUAUCUUUAUCAUAAAAAAAUCUAUGUAGACACCUCAAAUUAUUUUCAGUAUAAGCUUAUGUUUAUGUGUCUUAAUAUAAACACACAUAUUUCCUCUUCAUAGUCUUUACACCUAGUGUAAUUCCUCUCAGCUCUUAUACUUUUAAUUUUUAUAAAAGAAAAAGCUAGUAUUUAAUUCUUCAGUUUUAUUGAGAAAUGACUGACAAAAUGCAUAUACAUUUAGGUGUAUGACAUGAGUUGAUAUAUGUGUAUAUUGUGAAAGCAUCACCACAGUCAAGUUAAUUAACAUGUCCAUCACUUCACAUAGUUAUUUUUGUGUGUGGAUAUGUGUUAAGAACACUUGGGAUUUACUAUCUUAGCGACUUUCAUGGAUAUAACACUUCAUUAUUACCUAUAGUCACUGUACUGGCCAUUCAGUCUCCAGAAUGUAUUGUGUAACUUAAAGUUUGUACACUUUGAUCAAUAAUCCCCUUUUCCCCCAUCUCAAGGCUCUUGAUAAGCAUCAUUCUUCUCUCUAUUAUUGUGAACUUAUCUUUUUUUAGACCCCACAUGUAGUUGAAAUCAUGCAGUCUUUGUCAUUCUGUAUCUGACUUACUUCACUCACCAUAAUGUCCUCUAAGUUCAUCCGUGAUGUUGCUCAUGGCAUGUUUUCCUUCUUUUUUAAAGGCUGAUAAUAUUCUAGAGUUCUCAGCCCCCGCCCCUUUUUUUCUUGCUUUUUAGGGCUGUGCCUAUGGCAUAUGGAAGUUUCCAGACUAGGGGUUGGUUGAAUUGGAGCUACAGCUGCAGGUCUACAACACAGCCAUGGCAACACCAGAUCUGAGCCACAUCUGCAACCUAUGCCAGAGCUCCUGGCAAUGCUGGAUCCUUAAUCCUGAGUGAAACCAGAGAUCGAACCUGCAUCCUCAUGGAUACUAGUUGGGUUUGUUUCCACUGAGCCACAAUGGGAACUCCCUUUUUUAUAUUCUUUGAGUCCCUUCUUAUAGACCAGAGAGACAACCAUUUAGUUGACUCCCCAUUGUUUGUCAAAAUGAAGCCCUUUGUUGAGUUCAUAGUAAUGUAUCUUGAUCAGGUGUCAUUAGGACAAAACAGGGAAUAUUAGAUAAAGUUAGUAAAACAUGACAGAUUAAGAAGGGAAAAUAUAUAGAGUGGAAUAAAUGGAUAUUUCAGCGAUUGUAAGGUCUCAGAUUCUUCAUCAUGACAGUAUUUCUUUCCUGCUUGCAAGUUUUAAACUCACUCCAUCCUUACAUGUGUAUAGUCGUCAUGUAGUGGUUUUCAAAUUGUUUGGAAAGCAGACAUAUAAAUGCCCUAGAGGGGUUUCCCCCAGCUCCCACAGAAGUUCUCAUGGAGAAUGGGACCCUCAUUCCAGAUUCACCCAUUUUUAAGUUACUAAUCAUUUCGAAAAGUCUUUUUUAAAAAAGUGGAAAGUAGCCAACUUUUAGAGAUGUCUAUGCACUUGGAGAAAAUCAGAUAUAAACAAAAUACUUAAUUUUCCUGGUGUCCCACCAUAAAUUAAAAUGACUAAGGACAGAAAUUCUGUUACCACAUUAUUGAUUAUGAGGAUAUAAUUGAAGUAGAUCACAGAAGAGGGUUUCCAUGUGUUUCUAUUGCCUUUACCUCUAUUUCUUACAGGUAAAGGCAAUAUUUUUCAAUGAGGUUAGGCAUAAUUGAAGCAUAUCUAUAAAAAUGCUGCAAAUUAUUUGGAGUUUCAUGUAAAGAGUCAAACCCUACUGGUGUACUGAAACUUCUUGGGAUCAUGGAUCUUUUUGCUAAUCCCGUAAAAUUAAUGGAGUGUGUUCCAUUUAAAAAAAAAAAAUAGAAAUAUCAAGCAACUUUAUAUGUCAUUUCAGGGGCUCAUAUCUCUUGAAGUUCAUCAAUACAUUACCUCUGAGUCCAAUGAUCCUAGAUUAAGAUGUGUGAUAAUUGAGCAAAUUUAGAAAAAAUAAUCUAUAUUUUCUUCACGUUAGUAGUCCAAGACAGAGUAGGUGUCUUUGAGCCAAACUUCUGAUACUUGUCUACAACCAUGUCCCCAGUUCUUCCUCGGCAACAGGCAAAAUGAUGGGAGGGAAGGUGUCUUUAUUGCCCGACAGAAAGUUUGAUCAUUGUGUCUACUGCUGAUUCCCAGGGGUUUCCUACCAAUUCUAUCUAUGAGCCCACAACACUCAACUCCUGCCCCUGGAAGAAAGCCCCCGUGUGUCAAGACCAUAUGUCUUUGGGAGUUCCCAUCAUGGCUCAGUGGUUUAUGAACCCAAAUAGGAUCCAUGAGGAUGUGGGUUCAAUCCCUGGCCUCGCUCGGUGGGUUAAGGAUCUGGCAUCGCCAUGAGCUGUGGUGUAGGUCGCAGACAUGGCUUGGAUCUUGCAUGACUGUGGUGUAGGCUGGCAGCUGUAGCUCUGAUUUCAAACCCUAGUGUGGGAACUUCCACAUGCUGUGGGUAUAGCCUCAAAAAGCAUAAUAAAAAUAAAGACCACGCAUUUUUAGAAUUUGCCCCAUGUUGGUAAGUUUGAGAAUGCAAAGGAGAACUAGAAGAAGAUCUCCUACUCAAAUAGCCGUAUUACCUAGUAAGUUAGCCUACAUACUCCAUGGACAUGGACAGUAGGUCCUGGAGUGCUGAUUCAGCCAAAAUAGACUCUACUAACUGAAAAACAGUACCAUGCCCUACUUGUUCCUUGAACCACAAAUCCUGCAGGAUGACCCAGGAAAGACUGUACUUGCACUGACCCCAGCAUAGGAGAGAAUGCUGAGCUGAAGGAACCCACUGGGAUACACCUCUGAACAGAAAGGGAUUCUGCUCAGAAGAGUCCUCCCCACUCUGCUUCCACCUCCACAAACAGUCUUGAGAAAUGGCUGCCAAGGAAACUGGAGAUCAGAACCUUGACACCUUUAUACACUCAACACAGUAUGGACAAGUGCAAGGUCCAUGGCAGAUGCCUCCCAAUAACAUCAGGUAAUGAAAUGUGUUGAUAUUUGCAAAAUUUAUAUUUACAGUGAACUGAUAUUUCUUUAGUGACUCCUUCAUGGCAUUGCACACUUAUGCAUGAGUAAAAAAAUCUAUUCAAAGUACAAAAUAGAUAAAUGAAUUUUUGAUGUAAUAGGGUAGAAAAGGCUCUUUCCUGUGUUUGCAGAUUGUCCUAUCAGUAACAUUACCAUAUUAUUUGAGGUUCUAUUUUUUCUAAAAUGUGUUUUUUCUCAGGAAUAAAUGGAUGACUUUUACAUUUUCAUGUGGCGUUAGCUGAGCUGUCAUUUUUGGACAGCUGAGUGCACAGGUUCUCUUUAGUAGAAUGACCAAUCUCACCCCUUAAAGCCAAAGUAGAUGGGAAUCUUAAAAUAGAGUGAAAAUACUGAUAUCUUCUUUUAAAACAAAAUAGACCCUACAGAAUAGAAGAAUGAAUUGGUUUAAGCUUGUAAGUCUGGAUAAAAGAUUUGGUAGUGAAAGUUGGAGAUAAUUUUCAGGCUGUCUAGUUAACAUCUGGUAGAUAUACACCAUGGAGGACUAUGAAAGAAUGAUAAGCCUCAGGCCAGAAGUACAAACAACAGUGGUGUUAUAGUCUCACUGAUGAAUGAAGAGAAAUGGGGGAGGGGGCAGAAAGAAAUAUGUAAUACAGUACCAACUAUGAAACCUCAAAAUAGAUGCUUACAUGGUCAUUUCAGUCCUAGGUAUUCAUCCAAAUAAAUGAAAAUGUGUGUCUGCAUAAAGAGUUAUAGAAAAAUGUUCAAGGAGUUCCCUGGUGGCCUAGCAGAUUAAGGAUAUGUUAUUUUCACUGCUGUAGUGCAGGUUUGAUCCCUAGCCCAGAACUUCCUUAUGCCACAGGUACAGCCAAAAAAAGAAAAAAUAAAAACAUUCAUAGCAGUAUUAUUCAUAGUAUUUCAGAACUGAAAACACUAAAAAUAUUCAUCAAUGUUUUACAGCAGAGAAAAAAAAAUAGUAUUUGCUUGAUAAGCAAAAGAAAGUAUAUAUUAUUUAUAAUUAUAGAGUCAAUAACCCAUGACAAUAUAAAUGAAAAUAUUCAGGUACAGAUAACUUUAAGAGUGAGGCUGAUAGUUGCAAAUGAGGUUUUCAAAGAAAAAUAUAUUUCACUUAUAAAUUUGAUAUGAAAUUUUUGAUGUUUUACUUUAUUACAGAAAUAUUAGAAAUGUAUUUUAAGGGAGUUCCCAUCAUGGCUGAGCAAAAACGAAUCUGACUAGUAUCCACGAGGAUGCAGGUUUGAUUCCUGGUCUCGCUCAUGGGUUAAGGAUCCAGCUUUGCCAUGAGCUAUGAGGUAGUUUGCAGACCUGGCUCAGAUCCUGUGUUGCUGUGGCUGUGAUGUAGGCCAGCAUCUGUAGCUCUGAUUCAACCCCUAACCUGGGAACCCCCAUAUGCCGUAGGUGUGGCCCUAAAAAGACCAAAAAAAAAAAAAAAAAGGAUAAACAUCUUUUAAAAUAAGUUUAGAUCCUUCACUAGAAUGUAGCACAAUAAGUCUUCCUUUGGCCUUCCGGGAAAAUAGAUAAAUAUCUUUCAAGAAAACUUAUAUUAGGUACUUCUCCAGUGCAAGUUGCUUGAGAAAGCAUCCACUUAACUGUUAUCACAUAUUAUCUGUAGUUGUAUCAACAUGAAUACAGUCCUGAAAAUAAUCAGUUUUUGAUUGUUGAAAAUUUUUAUACC
This 5604-nucleotide long non-coding RNA is filed under the name Sus scrofa (pig). RNAcentral's name for it is "lncRNA (ENSSSCG00065005013.1)". Lineage: Eukaryota; Metazoa; Chordata; Mammalia; Artiodactyla; Suidae. The record is from RNAcentral.